RNAcentral lists this ribosomal RNA (497 nucleotides) under uncultured bacterium. RNAcentral describes it as "partial 16S ribosomal RNA". It matches the Rfam family "Bacterial small subunit ribosomal RNA", at positions 28 to 507 of the family's 1533-position model. The record is from RNAcentral.
GAUGAACGCUGGCGGCGUGCCUAAUACAUGCAAGUCGAGCGAACGGACGAGAAGCUUGCUUCUCUAAUGUUAGCGGCGGACGGGUGAGUAACACGUGGAUAACCUACCUAUAAGACUGGGAUAACUUCGGGAAACCGUAGCUAAUACCGGAUAAUAUUUUGAACCGCAUGGUUCAAAAGUGAAAGACGGUCUUGCUGUCACUUAUAGAUGGAUCCGCGCUGCAUUAGCUAGUUGGUAAGGUAACGGCUUACCAAGGCAACGAUGCAUAGCCGACCUGAGAGGGUGAUCGGCCACACUGGAACUGAGACACGGUCCCGACUCCUACGGGAGGCCGCAGUAGGGAAUCUUCCGCAAUGGGCGAAAGCCUGACGGAGCAACGCCGCGUGAGUGAUGAAGGUCUUCGGAUCGUAAAACUCUGUUAUUAGGGAAGAACAUAUGUGUAAGUAACUGUGCACAUCUUGACGGUACCUAAUCAGAAAGCCACGGCUAACUACGUG